UCGCUAGUCUCGUGUAGUCGUUCAAACAGAAACGUCGAUCCGAGGGUUAGUAUCGGCAUUAGAAACGGGCAUGCAGUACGGAAAAAUUUCGUGGUGGAUAUGGUUAUCCUUCUUAUCUAUAACAACGAUUUAUGUGCCGAUCCAAGCAACCACGCUAAACCCAGAGACCAUGAGGCAGAUACUUCCAGCGUACGCGGUUUUGGAAAACGUGGAUCUGUUAAAUUUCAGCAGAUGUCGGACGGAGAUUGAUGAAUUUCGUAGUGCUGUUGACAACCAGAUACUUUGGGGUUUAAGAGCGUUGCACACCAGUGGCGUGCCACCCGGGGGAUUUAUGAGCGGGCACAAUUAUUGGUUAGGAGAUCGUAUGGGUUGCACCAUUCUUUCCCAAAAUCGCACGUUGUUUGUCUCGGAGGGGAAACGAAAGAACAAUACGAUAUAUCGCAACCCGAACGAGGAGCACCCACCUUUUGAGUUCCGUUAUUUUAUUGGACGCAUGCGGCACAGUAGCACUAUGCAAUAUCACCAAGAAAUGCC
This is a long non-coding RNA of Bombus pascuorum, 534 nucleotides long. RefSeq lists it as uncharacterized. The record is from RefSeq and is a predicted model, not a curated record. The transcript has 3 exons. Lineage: Eukaryota; Metazoa; Arthropoda; Insecta; Hymenoptera; Apidae.